CCCUUAGAUGUUCUGGGCCGCACGCGCGCUACACUGAUGCAUGCAACAAGUCUUUUCCUUGGCCGAGAGGUCUGGGCAAUCUUUGAAUAUGCAUCGUGAUGGGGAUAGACGAUUGCAAUUAUUCGUCUUCAACGAGGAAUUCCUAGUAAACGCAAGUCAUCAGCUUGCAUUGAUUACGUCCCUGCCCUUUGUACACACCGCCCGUCGCACCUACCGAUUGAAUGGUCCGGUGAAGGCUUCGGAGGCGGCUUUCUCAAUGUUUAUUCGGCGAGACUGCUGCCAAAGUUGAAUGAACCUUACCAUUUAGAGGAAGGUGAANUCGUANCA
Molecule: ribosomal RNA, 327 nt
Filed under: uncultured eukaryote
Lineage: Eukaryota
Description: partial 18S ribosomal RNA
Rfam family: Eukaryotic small subunit ribosomal RNA
Source: RNAcentral